This 423-nucleotide ribosomal RNA is filed under the name uncultured bacterium. RNAcentral's name for it is "bacterial SSU rRNA". It matches the Rfam family "Bacterial small subunit ribosomal RNA", at positions 207 to 622 of the family's 1533-position model. The record is from RNAcentral.
AAGACCUUGCGCUUUUGGAGCGGCCGAUGCCUGAUUAGCUAGUUGGUGGGGUAAUGGCCUACCAAAGCUUCGAUCAGUAGCUGGUCUGAGAGGACGGCCAGCCACACUGGGACUGAGACACGGCCCAGACUCCUACGGGAGGCAGCAGUGGGGAAUUUUGGACAAUGGGGGCAACCCUGAUCCAGCCAUGCCGCGUGAGUGAAGAAGGCCUUCGGGUUGUAAAGCUCUUUCAGCCGGAACGAAACGGUUACGGUUAAUACCCGUGACUACUGACGGUACCGGAAGAAGAAGCACCGGCUAACUACGUGCCAGCAGCCGCGGUAAUACGUAGGGUGCGAGCGUUAAUCGGAAUUACUGGGCGUAAAGCGUGCGCAGGUGGUUUUGUAAGUCAGAUGUGAAAUCCCCGAGCUCAACUUGGGAACU